AUCUAGAUGAUGAGUCCCAAAUAGGACGAAAUGUGCAUCCUGGAU
Non-coding RNA from Trichobilharzia regenti, 45 nucleotides. Lineage: Eukaryota; Metazoa; Platyhelminthes; Trematoda; Strigeidida; Schistosomatidae. The record is from Rfam.